RNAcentral lists this ribosomal RNA (471 nucleotides) under uncultured bacterium. RNAcentral's name for it is "partial 16S ribosomal RNA". It matches the Rfam family "Bacterial small subunit ribosomal RNA", at positions 29 to 506 of the family's 1533-position model. The record is from RNAcentral.
AUAAACGCUGGCGGCGCACAUAAGACAUGCAAGUUGAACGGACUUAAUCGAAAUAUUUAUAUUUUGAAGCGGUUAGUGGCGGACUGGUGAGUAACGCGUAAGGAACCUGCCUAUUAGAGGGGAAUAACAGUGAGAAAUCAUUGCUAAUACCGCAUAUGCCAUAGAUAUCACAUGAUAACAGUGGGAAAGGAGCAAUCCGCUAAUAGAUGGCCUUGCGUCUGAUUAGAUAGUUGGUGGGGUAACGGCCUACCAAGUCGACGAUCAGUAGCCGGACUGAGAGGUUGAACGGCCAAAUUGGAACGGAAUUCCGGCCCAGCCCCCUAAGGGGGGGAGCGGUCGGGAAUAUUGCGCAAGGGAGGAACCUCUGACAGAGUGGCCCCGCGUAUAGGAAGAAGGUUUUCGGUUUUUAAAAUUUUUGCGUGAGGGAAAAAAAAGGACAGUACCUAAGGAGGAAGCCGCGGCUAACUACGU